This 254-nucleotide ribosomal RNA is filed under the name uncultured bacterium. RNAcentral's name for it is "partial 16S ribosomal RNA". It matches the Rfam family "Bacterial small subunit ribosomal RNA", at positions 524 to 776 of the family's 1533-position model. The record is from RNAcentral.
UACGGGGGGAGCAAGCGUUGUUCGGAUUUACUGGGCGUAAAGGGCGCGUAGGCGGCCAGCACACGUCAGUUGUGAAAUCUCCGAGCUUAACUCGGAAAGGUCAACUGAUACUGUGCGGCUAGAGUGCAGAAGGGGCAACUGGAAUUCUUGGUGUAGCGGUGAAAUGCGUAGAUAUCGGAAGGAACAUCAGUGGCGAAAGCGACUUCCUGGACCAGUACCGACGUUCAGGCACGAAAGCGUGGGGAGCAAACAGG